RNAcentral lists this ribosomal RNA (253 nucleotides) under uncultured bacterium. Its description in RNAcentral is "partial 16S ribosomal RNA". It matches the Rfam family "Bacterial small subunit ribosomal RNA", at positions 524 to 776 of the family's 1533-position model. The record is from RNAcentral.
UACGUAAGUGGCGAGCGUUAUCCGGAAUUACUGGGCGUAAAGCGUGCGUAGGCGGUUUAGUGUGUGGGAAUUGAAAGCCCGGGGCUCAACUCCGGAUCCGGUUCCCAAACUGCUAGACUCGAGCGUAUCAGAGGAGAGCGGAAUUCCCGGUGUAGCGGUAAUAUGCGUAGAUAUCGAGAGGAACACCUGCGGCGAAGGCGGGUUGCUGGGCUGACACUGACGCUGAUGCGCGAAAGCCAGGGGAGCGAACGGG